AGGUUGUUAAACCCAGCAGCUGGUUUCCAGUUCACGAACAGCAUCAUGGCGAGUAAACAAACUGUUUUCCUUCUGUUCGGCUUCAUGACACUUUACGUGACAGCUGAUCCACAACUUCGAGAGUUGAUCAGGAGCGUUGCAUAUUGUUCACCCAGCAGGGGCACUGAUCUGGAAUCUGUGAGGCACAGCAUCGCAGAACUAAAGCAAUAUAACAGUGA
This is a long non-coding RNA of Seriola aureovittata, 218 nucleotides long. RefSeq lists it as uncharacterized. The record is from RefSeq and is a predicted model, not a curated record. The transcript is spliced from 4 exons. NCBI's taxonomy places the organism in Eukaryota, Metazoa, Chordata, Actinopteri, Carangiformes, Carangidae.